GCUUGGGUUGGAAACCGGGGCUUCUGCCUCGGAUUGUGGCCUUUAGACAUACUACCAACGGCGGCGCGAGCGUAAGCCUCUUGGAACAGAGCGUCUACGUGGGUGAGAAUCCUGUGUUUCGCUUGAUGCCCGCCGUGCACGGUACUUGCUCUCAGAGUCACGCUCCUCGGAAUUGGAGCGUAAAUUGGGUGGUAAAUUUCAUCUAAAGCUAAAUACAGGCUCGAGACCGAUAGCAAACAAGUACCAUGAGGGAAAGAUGAAAAGGACUUUGAAAAGAGAGUUAAAAGUGCUKGAAAUCGCUGAACUGGAAGCGAAUGGAACUAGUGCUCUGGUUGAGAUUGCUGCAAGUGGCUGCGACAUCUGGGCUCUGGAACGCAAGUCCUUUGUCUGGUUUGAAGUAGUUGCUUGUAAUGUGUCUCAGCUUGAACAUCAGCGUCUAUGCAUACGUGAGGAUGGCCCUUAGCUCAUGCUGUGUUGCUGUGGCGAUACUCUUGUGCUUUUGGGGAUUCAGGUGUGUGUGGAUUGUUGAUCAAUUAGUUCCAUUCGACCCGUCUUGAAACACGGACCAAGGAGUCUAGCACUUGUGCAAGUUCUCAGGUGUCAAACCUCUGUGCGCAAUGAAGGUGACUGCUGGGAUUUUUUGCACCAGCAACCGACCAAUCAAUUGGGAGAAGUUUGAGUAAGAGCAUGUGUGUUAGGACCCGAAAGAUGGUGAACUAU
This 720-nucleotide ribosomal RNA is filed under the name Symbiodinium tridacnidarum. Its description in RNAcentral is "Symbiodinium sp. TLJ-2015a partial large subunit ribosomal RNA". Lineage: Eukaryota; Dinophyceae; Suessiales; Symbiodiniaceae. The record is from RNAcentral.